GUAGGGAAUAUUGGGCAAUGGAUGAAAGUCUGACCCAGCCAUGCCGCGUGCCGGAUGAAGGCGCUCAGCGUUGUAAACGGCUUUUAUUCGGGAAGAAGAGCAGGGAUGCGUCCCUGUGUGACGGUACCGAAUGAAUAAGCACCGGCUAACUCCGUGCCAGCAGCCGCGGUAAUACGGAGGGUGCGAGCGUUGUCCGGAUUUAUUGGGUUUAAAGGGUGCGUAGGUGGCCAAAUAAGUCAGUGGUGAAAUACGGUUGCUCAACAAUCGAGGUGCCAUUGAUACUGCUUGGCUUGAAAUAAUUGGAGGCUGCCGGAAUGGAUGGUGUAGCGGUGAAAUGCAUAGAUAUCAUCCAGAACACCGAUUGCGAAGGCAGGUGGCUACGAUUUAUUUGACACUGAGGCACGAAAGCAUGGGGAGCAAACAGGAUUAGAAACCCCGGUAGUCC
This 445-nucleotide ribosomal RNA is filed under the name uncultured bacterium. RNAcentral's name for it is "partial 16S ribosomal RNA". It matches the Rfam family "Bacterial small subunit ribosomal RNA", at positions 354 to 796 of the family's 1533-position model. The record is from RNAcentral.